Molecule: ribosomal RNA, 498 nt
Filed under: uncultured bacterium
Lineage: Bacteria
Description: partial 16S ribosomal RNA
Rfam family: Bacterial small subunit ribosomal RNA
Source: RNAcentral
GACGAACGCUGGCGGCGUGCCUAAUACAUGCAAGUCGAGCGGACGGAUGGGAGCUUGCUCCCAGACCGUCAGCGGCGGACGGGUGAGUAACACGUGGGCAACCUGCCUGUAAGACUGGGAUAACUCCGGGAAACCGGGGCUAAUACCGGAUAACUCUUUCCCUCACAUGAGGGAAAGCUGAAAGAUGGCAUCUCGCUAUCACUUACAGAUGGGCCCGCGGCGCAUUAGCUAGUUGGUGAGGUAACGGCUCACCAAGGCGACGAUGCGUAGCCGACCUGAGAGGGUGAUCGGACACACUGGGACUGAGACACGGCCCAGACUCCUACGGGAGGCAGCAGUAGGGAAUCUUCCGCAAUGGACGAAAGUCUGACGGAGCAACGCCGCGUGAGUGAUGAAGGUUUUCGGAUCGUAAAACUCUGUUGUCAGGGAAGAACAAGUACCGGAGUAACUGCCGGUACCUUGACGGUACCUGACCAGAAAGCCACGGCUAACUACGUG